CAGUCGCCGCGGUAAAACGAAGGGUGCAAGCGUUAAUCGGAAUUACUGGGCGUAAAGCGUGCGUAGGCGGUUUGUUAAGUCUGUUGUGAAAUCCCCGGGCUCAACCUGGGAAUGGCAGUGGAUACUGGCUCGCUAGAGUGUGUCAGAGGAUGGUGGAAUUCCCGGUGUAGCGGUGAAAUGCGUAGAGAUCGGGAGGAACAUCAGUGGCGAAGGCGGCCAUCUGGGACAACACUGACGCUGAGGCACGAAAGCGUGGGGAGCAAACAGGAUUAGAUACCCCAGUAGUCCCUGUCUCUUAUAC
Molecule: ribosomal RNA, 301 nt
Filed under: uncultured bacterium
Lineage: Bacteria
Description: partial 16S ribosomal RNA
Rfam family: Bacterial small subunit ribosomal RNA
Source: RNAcentral